ACUCGGCAUAAUGAUCCCGUAACUUCGGAAGAAGGGAUGCCAGUUUGGGUAGCCAGCUUCGCGCUGGUCGCUCUUUCUGGUCGCAGAGAAUCGACUCAAGCGACUGUUUAGCAAAAACACAGGUGCGUGCUAAGCCGCGUAAGGCGCCGUAUACGCACUGACGCCUGCCCGGUGCCGGAAGGUUAAGGGGAGAUGUUAGCCGCAAGGCGAAGCAUUGAGCCGAAGCCCCGGUAAACGGCGGCCGUAACAAUAACGGUCCUAAGGUAGCGAAAUUCCUUGUCGGGUAAGUUCCGACCUGCACGAAUGGCGUAACGACUUGAGUACUGUCUCGACCACGUGCUCGGCGAAAUGGCAGUAUCGGUGAGGAUUCCGAUUUUCCCGCAGCAGGACAAAAAGACCCCAUGCACCUUUACUGUAGCUUGCCAUUGGACGUCGCACGUGACUGUGUAGCAUAGGUGGGAGCCUUUGAGGCCCGGGCGCUAGCUCGGGAUUAGGCAUCAGUGAAAUACCACCCUGGCUCUUGUAACGUCCUCACCACGCUCUGGAAAACCCAGGCUGGGACCGUGGCAGGUGGGCAGUUUGACUGGGGCGGUCGCCUCCGAAAGAGUAACGGAGGCGCGCGAUGGUUCCCUCAGCGCGGUCGGUACUCGCGCUCUUGAGUGUAACGGCAAAAGGGAGCCUGACGGUGAGACCGACGGGUCGAGCCGCCACGAAAGUGGGCCGUAGUGAUCCGGUAGCCCGUAGUGGAUCGGCUAUCGCUCAACGGAUAAAAGGUACGCUGGGGAUAACAGGCUUAUCGCAUCCGAGAGUUCACAUCGACGAUGCGGUUUGGCACCUCGAUGUCGGCUUGUCACAUCCUGGGGCUGGAGAAGGUCCCGAGGGUCCGGCUGUUCGCCGGUUAAAGUGGCACAUGAGCUGGGUUCAAAACGUCGUGAGACAGUUUGGUCUGUAUCCGCUGUGGGCGCUGGAGAAUUGAGGGACGCGGACUCUAGUACGAGAGGACCGAGUCAGACGAUCCGCUCGUGUCCCGGCUGUGUCGCCAGAUGCAACGCCGGGUAGCGAUGAUCGGUAGGGAUAACCGCUGAAAGCAUCUAAGUGGGAAGCCCUUCCCAAGAUGAAUUCUCCCUGGAGCCUUGAGCUCCCUGAAGGGCCGUCGGAGACUACGACGUCAAUAGGCCGGAUGUGGAAGCGCGGUAACGCGUUCCGAGCAAACCGGUCCUAAUCGCCCGUGAGGUUUGACUAC
This 1243-nucleotide ribosomal RNA is filed under the name metagenome. Its description in RNAcentral is "bacterial LSU rRNA". It matches the Rfam family "Bacterial large subunit ribosomal RNA", at positions 1712 to 2925 of the family's 2925-position model. The record is from RNAcentral.